Molecule: ribosomal RNA, 553 nt
Filed under: uncultured archaeon
Lineage: Archaea
Description: bacterial SSU rRNA
Rfam family: Archaeal small subunit ribosomal RNA
Source: RNAcentral
CGGGGUGCACCAGGCGCGAAAACUUUACAAUGCUGGCAACAGCGAUAAGGGGACCUUGAGUGCCAGGAUACAAUCCUGGCUGUCGUGAUGCCUAAAAAGCAUUAUAUAGCAAGGGCCGGGCAAGACCGGUGCCAGCCGCCGCGGUAACACCGGCGGCUCGAGUGGUAACCGCUAUUAUUGGGUCUAAAGGGUCUGUAGCCGGCUUGGUUAGUCUCUUGGGAAAUCCGGCAGCUUAACUGUCGGGCUUUCAGGAGAUACUGCCAGGCUCGAGACCGGGAGAGGUGAGAGGUACUUCAUGGGUAGGGGUGAAAUCUUGUAAUCCUUGAAGGACCACCAGUGGCGAAGGCGUCUCACCAGAACGGAUCUGACGGCAAGGGACGAAAGCUAGGGGCACGAACCGGAUUAGAUACCCGGGUAGUCCUAGCCGUAAACGAUACUCGCUAGGUGUCGGCCACGGUGCGACCGUGGUCGGUGCCGUAGGGAAGCCGUGAAGCGAGCCACCUGGGAAGUACGGCCGCAAGGCUGAAACUUAAAGGAAUUGGCGGGGGAGCAC